GAGUGUAUAGCUCAAGUGGUAGAGCGCAUGCUUAGCAUGCAUGAGGUCCUGGGUUCAAUCCCCAGUACCUCCA
RNAcentral lists this transfer RNA (73 nucleotides) under Camelus bactrianus (Bactrian camel). It matches the Rfam family "tRNA". From Rfam's summary of the family: Transfer RNA (tRNA) molecules are approximately 80 nucleotides in length. Their secondary structure includes four short double-helical elements and three loops (D, anti-codon, and T loops). Lineage: Eukaryota; Metazoa; Chordata; Mammalia; Artiodactyla; Camelidae. RNAcentral also lists the same sequence under 2 other names. The record is from Rfam by way of RNAcentral.